Molecule: ribosomal RNA, 276 nt
Filed under: Enterobacter pseudoroggenkampii
Lineage: Bacteria; Pseudomonadati; Pseudomonadota; Gammaproteobacteria; Enterobacterales; Enterobacteriaceae
Description: partial 16S ribosomal RNA
Rfam family: Bacterial small subunit ribosomal RNA
Source: RNAcentral
AAAUUGAAGAGUUUGAUCAUGGCUCAGAUUGAACGCUGGCGGCAGGCCUAACACAUGCAAGUCGAGCGGUAGCACAGGGAGCUUGCUCCUGGGUGACGAGCGGCGGACGGGUGAGUAAUGUCUGGGAAACUGCCUGAUGGAGGGGGAUAACUACUGGAAACGGUAGCUAAUACCGCAUAAUGUCGCAAGACCAAAGAGGGGGACCUUCGGGCCUCUUGCCAUCAGAUGUGCCCAGAUGGGAUUAGCUAGUAGGUGGGGUAACGGCUCACCUAGGCG